AUACGUAGGGGGCGAGCGUUGUCCGGAAUGAUUGGGCGUAAAGGGCGCGUAGGCGGCGCGGUAAGUCUGGAGUGAAAGUCCUGCUUUCAAGGUGGGAAUUGCUUUGGAUACUGCCGCGCUUGAGUGCAGGAGAGGUUAUCGGAAUUCCCGGUGUAGCGGUGAAAUGCGUAGAGAUCGGGAGGAACACCAGUGGCGAAGGCGGCUUACUGGACUGUAACUGACGCUGAGGCGCGAAAGUGUGGGGAGCAAACAGGAUUAGAUACCCUGGUAGUCCACACCGUAAACGAUGAAUGCUAGGUGUAGGGGGUAUCGACCCCUUCUGUGCCGCAGUCAACACAAUAAGCAUUCCGCCUGGGGAGUACGGCCGCAAGGUUGAAACUCAAAUGAAUUGACGGGG
RNAcentral lists this ribosomal RNA (397 nucleotides) under uncultured bacterium. RNAcentral describes it as "partial 16S ribosomal RNA". It matches the Rfam family "Bacterial small subunit ribosomal RNA", at positions 523 to 918 of the family's 1533-position model. The record is from RNAcentral.